AGAAAUAUGCGCGAACCGGUCACUGAUAUUAAUACGUACAUACGUUUUUAGGAAUGAUAAUUCUAGUAAUACAUUGGCAGAUAAUAACGCUUUAUCUGUUUCGUAGUGCAAAUAGGUGUUCUGUUUUGGUAAAAGAAAUAAAUCGCAUCUGUGGUCUGCUGAAUGACAUUGAUUCCAAUUUUUAUGGAUAUAAUGUACCGUGUAACGCGUUGGAUUGCAGGUUGAAACAACACAACUUCAUUUCAUACAACACUCGGCCUUGCUUCAUGCCAGAGGAAUAUUUGUGAUAAACUAUGAUACAUUUUUGCAGGAUAGAGAGAAACGGAAAAUAUCUAGGGGGUAGACACCUAUGAAUCCAGUGUGAAUUAUUUGAUUUCUAUGAAAUCUUUGAUUCUUGCGAUUUCGGUGAUUUCUCGAUUCCAAACCUCAAUAUUGGACAUAAUAAAAUACACUUAAUGUUAUAUACAAAGCUAAUUUCACUGUGGUAGUGUGCGCCUAUAGUAGAAGUCGCACACAUAGUGUGUGUGCGGUACAAAAUACACAACAUUUGACAGAAAUCAAAGAAAUCACAAAAAUUGAAUUCUGCGAUUUCUGUGAUUUUAAUGAUUUUUGUGAUUUCUGUGAGUUUUGAUUCCACGUGUCUACCCCCUAGGAAAAUAUCCUUUAAAUUAUGAAUUAAUUUGUUUUGCGUUAUAUUUUAGAUGACAGGCGCAGUUUGUAUCUACCUAAUGAUAUUUUUU
Long non-coding RNA from Contarinia nasturtii (swede midge), 740 nucleotides. RefSeq lists it as uncharacterized. The transcript has 3 exons. The record is from RefSeq and is a predicted model, not a curated record. NCBI's taxonomy places the organism in Eukaryota, Metazoa, Arthropoda, Insecta, Diptera, Cecidomyiidae.